Molecule: ribosomal RNA, 468 nt
Filed under: uncultured bacterium
Lineage: Bacteria
Description: partial 16S ribosomal RNA
Rfam family: Bacterial small subunit ribosomal RNA
Source: RNAcentral
GACGAACGCUGGCGGCGUGCUUAACACAUGCAAGUCGAACGGAAAGGCCCUGCUUUUGUGGGGUGCUCGAGUGGCGAACGGGUGAGCAACACGUGAGUAACCUGCCCUUGACUUUGGGAUAACUUCAGGAAACUGGGGCUAAUACCGGAUAGGAGCUCCUGCUGCAUGGUGGGGGUUGGAAAGUUUCGGCGGUUGGGGAUGGACUCGCGGCUUAUCAGCUUGUUGGUGGGGUAGUGGCUUACCAAGGCUUUGACGGGUAGCCGGCCUGAGAGGGUGACCGGCCACAUUGGGACUGAGAUACGGCCCAGACUCCUACGGGAGGCAGCAGUGGGGAAUAUUGCACAAUGGGCGGAAGCCUGAUGCAGCAACGCCGCGUGCGGGAUGACGGCCUUCGGGUUGUAAACCGCUUUCGCCUGUGACGAAGCGUGAGUGACGGUAAUGGGUAAAGAAGCACCGGCUAACUACGCG